Xyrauchen texanus (razorback sucker) is the source of this 292-nucleotide long non-coding RNA. RefSeq lists it as uncharacterized. The transcript has 4 exons. NCBI's taxonomy places the organism in Eukaryota, Metazoa, Chordata, Actinopteri, Cypriniformes, Catostomidae. The record is from RefSeq and is a predicted model, not a curated record.
AGUUACCAGGACUGAGCGCCAAUCAGCCAGGACACCCAGGACUCCUCAAGACAGAAGUUCCCAAGGACUGAACGGCAAUCAGCCAGGACACCCAGGACUCCCCAAGAAAAGCAAGACAAGUUCCCAAUGACAGACAAAAGAUUCCAAAGAAAAGUGUUGACACAGCUUAUAGAAAUAAAAGAAGAACUGAGAAGAAUUGGUAAAAAUGUGGAACCAGACACUGUGUUCCACCUGUCUACCUUGGCUACUGAGGAGGAUUUCAAAUACCUAGAAAGGCAGUUGGAAAGUGAGA